GUGUUAAGCCUGUGCUGACACAAUAAAUAUCACAUUGUCUUUAGUCUCUUGAUAAAGGUUGUGCAUGUGAAGCAGAAGAGGAUAAUGAGGUUCAUAUCUAUCUUGAUCAUUUUGAUUGUGUUAUGUCUUUUGGCUGUACAGGCAAGAUACUAUAAGAAAUGCAAAUCAAGUUCAGAGUGCUAUUUCAACGAAUGUUGCUCACGAGGACGCUGCAAACCAAUGAUUUCACCCGGAUACCGUUGUAACGUGUAUCGUAUGCUUCUCAGUCAACAGUGUCCUUGUACUCGAGGAUUUACCUGCACUGCAAAGUCACGUGUAAAUAAACGACUUAGAUGGACUUGCCAGUCAAUAAUGUGGAGACACGAUCCGAACGAAGAAGAGCUUCAUGAAUGGUUUGAGAUGUUUUAUUAACAAUGUCUCUAAUUUUGGAAAGACAUCCUCUAUAAUUACUAUAUGCCUUUCAUUUAAUUGUUUUAGCAAAUUAUUUGUUAUACACUUUGUUACAUGUAAGAAUCUGAUCGGGAAUAGUUAUACAUAACUAUUUCUUGGACAAAAACAUUAAUAAUCAGUAAAUUUUUUUGUGAAUAUUACGAAAUACAAUUGUUUUUUUCAGGAUUAUGCACCACAAAAUCAGUCGAAAUCAUCAACAUUUCCAUUUAUUUUUAAUUUAUUAUUUUUAAUAUUAAAAGUGCAACAAAAUGAAAA
This is a long non-coding RNA of Xenia sp. Carnegie-2017, 705 nucleotides long. RefSeq lists it as uncharacterized. NCBI's taxonomy places the organism in Eukaryota, Metazoa, Cnidaria, Anthozoa, Malacalcyonacea, Xeniidae. The record is from RefSeq and is a predicted model, not a curated record. The transcript is spliced from 2 exons.